UGAGCAGAACGGGUGAUCGCGGCUGCAGAUCCCGAAAGGGUGCAGGUGAGGAAAGUCCGGGCUUCACAGGGCAGGAUGCCGGUUAACGGCCGGCGGAGGCGACUCCAGGGAAAGUGCAACAGAGAGCAGACCGCAAAGUGCUGCGUAAGCAGUGCUUUGUAAGGGUGAAAGGGCAGUGUAAGAGACUACCGGCCAUGUGGUAACACAGGGCGCAUUGUAAACCCCAUCCGAAGCAAGACCGAACAGAAGGUUACGGCCGGCCCGGCCAAUCCUUCAGGUGGGUCGCUUGAGACUGCCGGCGACGGCAGUACUAGACAGAUGAUCAUUCAAGACAUAACCCGGCUUACAGUUCUGCUCACCUU
This 362-nucleotide RNase P RNA is filed under the name Clostridiales bacterium. Its description in RNAcentral is "RNase P RNA component class A". It matches the Rfam family "Bacterial RNase P class A". Rfam says of the family: Ribonuclease P (RNase P) is a ubiquitous endoribonuclease, found in archaea, bacteria and eukarya as well as chloroplasts and mitochondria. Its best characterised activity is the generation of mature 5'-ends of tRNAs by cleaving the 5'-leader elements of precursor-tRNAs. Lineage: Bacteria; Bacillati; Bacillota; Clostridia; Eubacteriales. The record is from RNAcentral.